CAAGGUCCCUUGCCAAACUGUAACAGUGGAUUGAAAUAUUUAUUAACAACUGAAUUUUCUCCUGACUCUAAGAUCCAUGACAUCCCUGAAGCCAAUCCAGGCCCUGAGCUUGUUUCAGAGUAUCAGCUAACCUGACUCUUCAUGUAAUGCUUAUCUUAAAUUGCAAGGAAAUCCUUGAUCAGAGAAGUCACAAGCAGCAAUACUUCCGUGUUCUCCGAGUUCUGAAGCAGUGCGAAGUCGCAGACAGCACGCAGGCGACUGCCAGUGACGGCGGGUCUCGCACUACGCGUCAAACAGAGAUGGCUUCGCCAGCAGAGCGCUUGUUACUCGUGAGUCCUUCGAUAGCUCAGUUGGUAGAGCGGAGGACUGUAGUGGCAGCUCGCUGGUAUCCUUAGGUCGCUGGUUCGAAUCCGGCUCGAAGGAACUUACACUUUUAGUGAGUUCAAGGCAUGUCCUAGUUGUUGGUAUCCUCAAGGGUCAAUUUAAAGCGAUUUUUGAUGUGCAAGCCGUCUCGCUAAAUUAUUAAAAUCUUUAGUUAUUUUGAAUACCCACACUUCGAUUCCAUUGGACCUAUUUUAACCCUCAGAAAACUCUCUGACCCGGCAAAGCGAAUCAGAGGUAGGCCCACCCCGCCAGGGCUCCGGAGAUGGAUCCACACACACUCUCGACCUCAGAUUCCAAGCCUGGGAGGGUCGACCGGAGAAGAGUCGCCAGGCCGGUGGGCAUCGAUGGGACACGCGCGCCCCCUGCAGGUCGGAGUGCUUAGCAACUGGGGCUCAUUUGUC
Molecule: transfer RNA, 785 nt
Filed under: Cavia porcellus (domestic guinea pig)
Lineage: Eukaryota; Metazoa; Chordata; Mammalia; Rodentia; Caviidae
Description: lncRNA (ENSCPOG00000032312.1)
Rfam family: tRNA (bases 336-423)
Source: RNAcentral